Nematolebias whitei (Rio pearlfish) is the source of this 197-nucleotide long non-coding RNA. RefSeq lists it as uncharacterized. NCBI's taxonomy places the organism in Eukaryota, Metazoa, Chordata, Actinopteri, Cyprinodontiformes, Rivulidae. The record is from RefSeq and is a predicted model, not a curated record. The transcript is spliced from 3 exons.
ACAGAUACCGAACAGAAGUGGCAUAAACCAAGGACAAUGGGCAUAAAACCUGGUCCAGUAAAUGACAUGGUCGUCCUGUCAGCAAGACCAAGAGAGAGGAAAAUCUUUGAAGGAAUUAGAAGCAACUUGUAUAAAGGUGCUACCAGCCCUCUUCCACUCAUCUCCACCCUAAGGAUACAGGAUGUGUACAAGGGACU